GACGUAGGGCGCGAGCGUUGUCCGGAUUUAUUGGGCGUAAAGAGCUCGUAGGCGGCUCAUUGCGUCAACCGUGAAAACCAGCAGCUCAACUGUUGGCUUGCGGUUGAUACGGGUGGGCUGGAGUUCGGUAGGGGAGACUGGAAUUCCUGGUGUAGCGGUGAAAUGCGCAGAUAUCAGGAGGAACACCGGUGGCGAAGGCGGGUCUCUGGGCCGAUACUGACGCUGAGGAGCGAAAGCGUUGGGAGCGAACAGG
RNAcentral lists this ribosomal RNA (253 nucleotides) under uncultured bacterium. RNAcentral's name for it is "partial 16S ribosomal RNA". It matches the Rfam family "Bacterial small subunit ribosomal RNA", at positions 524 to 776 of the family's 1533-position model. The record is from RNAcentral.